GGAGACGUGGCCGAGAGGCUGAAGGCACUUCCCUGCUAAGGAAGCAUGUGGGCUUAAACCUGCAUCGAGGGUUCGAAUCCCUCCGUCUCCGCCA
RNAcentral lists this transfer RNA (94 nucleotides) under Advenella mimigardefordensis DPN7. Its description in RNAcentral is "tRNA-Ser (GCT) (tRNA-Ser-GCT-1-1)". It matches the Rfam family "tRNA". Rfam says of the family: Transfer RNA (tRNA) molecules are approximately 80 nucleotides in length. Their secondary structure includes four short double-helical elements and three loops (D, anti-codon, and T loops). Further hydrogen bonds mediate the characteristic L-shaped molecular structure. tRNAs have two regions of fundamental functional importance: the anti-codon, which is responsible for specific mRNA codon recognition, and the 3' end, to which the tRNAs corresponding amino acid is attached (by aminoacyl-tRNA synthetases). tRNAs cope with the degeneracy of the genetic code in two manners: having more than one tRNA (with a specific anti-codon) for a particular amino acid; and 'wobble' base-pairing, i.e. permitting non-standard base-pairing at the 3rd anti-codon position. The record is from RNAcentral. Lineage: Bacteria; Pseudomonadati; Pseudomonadota; Betaproteobacteria; Burkholderiales; Alcaligenaceae. RNAcentral also lists the same sequence under 2 other names.